CCUUUGCAGCAAAGCAUCUUACCAUCCCUUAUUAUUUAAAUAAUAGUGUGCAUUGUUAAUUCAGGCUGAAGAUAGUGCUAACUUCAUCAGUGUUGGAUAUUACAGUUAAUGCUGAUGGGUUAAAUUUUAUGAUCUCCACACAAGAAAGAUUCAUCCACUCAUACCACUUGAGUUAUAAUUUGUGACGUUUUUAUCUUUCUGCCUCCCACUCUUUUUGAGAUCUAUUAAAGAUUAUACUGAAUACUCGAUACCAGUCAGUUAUAAAUUUGUUGAAGUUCUCUUAUUAGCAGCAAAGAAAAGUUUACAUGGUGCCAUGCUAAAACCCUCGCUUCAAUCAGAAAGAAUUCGUUACAGACCUGCGGAUUUCAAAUAUAAUUUAUCCUUAACAAUUCAUGAAGCAGUAUGGUGCCUCCACAAAGGCUGCGCAAGAUUUGGAUUUAAUUUCCAGAUCUUGAGAUGCCUAGAUUUUCUAGCAUACAUGAAUCAAUUUGGAAAAAACAUAUCUGAAUCACAGAGUUUUCGUCUUGCUUUUUGUGUGGUGAUAGAUUCAGAUUUUAUCGACCAAAUCAUCACUUAUCUUUACUCUGUAAUGUUUCUUAUUUCCUGCCAGACCAGUUAGCGUGGACACGCCCGCUCCGUAUCCUAGCCGAGGCGGCUGGUGCAGGCACAAAAGGGGUCGACAGGUUGUUGCGGCGGUGUAGUGCCACUGCGACCAAGGAUGUUGACGGUCAAAGGUGACAGUGUGGAGGGGCUCGAGCUUGCGGGACGGUGCGCAGCCAAGGUGGUGUUGAGCACUUUAAAACAAUUUUCAAUCGAAUCAGCCACCUCCGUCGCCUUGCAAAUUUUCGUAGGCUCAAACACUUUUCGGAGCACUUCAUGUCUUACAGAUGAUUUUGUAUUAGAACAAUAUGAAACAGAGAUUACAACUGAAUCAACCCCAUUUGCCGUUUCACUUGCAAGACACCUACACACUGUUGUUUGGUUCUGAGAUGUAUGGAGCGUUUUGGUGUUCUCAUUACAAUGAGCAAAAACUGACCAAAAAGUGCUAAAUAUGCAAGUCUUGACGCUAAAAGAUUUAUCAUCCCAAGAUUCAACUGGAAGGUUCUUGUGUGUGCUGCUCGAAUAUGGAAGUGUAGGCAUCAGAAAAACAAAGCAGAACUUAUAUGAGCUAGAGUUUAUUGUCGAUGAGGCUGAAGAUCAAAGAAGAAGCACAUAUCAGGC
Long non-coding RNA from Lolium rigidum, 1221 nucleotides. RefSeq lists it as uncharacterized. Lineage: Eukaryota; Viridiplantae; Streptophyta; Magnoliopsida; Poales; Poaceae. The record is from RefSeq and is a predicted model, not a curated record. The transcript is spliced from 4 exons.